Molecule: long non-coding RNA, 407 nt
Organism: Salvia miltiorrhiza (redroot sage)
Lineage: Eukaryota; Viridiplantae; Streptophyta; Magnoliopsida; Lamiales; Lamiaceae
Exons: 3
Source: RefSeq, a predicted model, not a curated record
AAACAAUUCAGCAGCAACCUACCUCCAUUCAUUCUUUACUCACCUGUAUUUGUUAAAGUAGCAACCUUAUUUCAGUUCAUCUCAUACAAAUCAACAACAACAGCCAUCAACAACAAACAAUUACAGGUCAAGCGCAAGAGUAAGAACUACACAAGGAGUUAGAGUACCUUAGCAAAACUUUGCUAUCAGGUUGAGCUGUGAUGGGCGAUGAAGUAUUGCUGAGUGGAGUUUUUGUCGAACUUAAAGUAGGCUCAGAAAGGAUACAUGUCUUCAUACAUGUAUCUCAGUUAUGCAUUCCGCUGUAAACACUGAUUAUUUCAGUUACGCCUUCCGUUGCAAACUCUGAUAAUGUUUUAGCCAAGCCCCUAACGAUGCCUUUUUCCUUUUUAAGGAAUAUUUCACGCGUA